UAAUAAGUGUUUUAUGGCACUUUUUAAAUCCAUAUCCACCUUGUGUGCAAUGUCGGUCGAUCUUUCUUCUUGGAAGAUCGGCCAAACAUCAACUUAUUUUUUUAACUCUUUGUCUGAAAAAUAUUAUGAAUAAACAAUUCAAAAUA
Molecule: unclassified non-coding RNA, 146 nt
Filed under: uncultured Mortierella
Lineage: Eukaryota; Fungi; Mortierellomycota; Mortierellomycetes; Mortierellales; Mortierellaceae
Description: sequence contains ITS1
Source: RNAcentral